AAAGCGCACGUAGGCGGCUUUGUAAGUAAGAGGUGAAAUCCCCGGGCUCAACCUGGGAAUUGCAUUGGAGACUGCAAGGCUAGAAUCUGGCAGAGGGGGGUAGAAUUCCACGUGUAGCAGUGAAAUGCGUAGAUAUGUGGAGGAACACCGAUGGCGAAGGCAGCCCCCUGGGUCAAGAUUGACGCUCAUGCACGAAAGCGUGGGGAGCAAACAGGAUUAGAUACCCUUGU
This 230-nucleotide ribosomal RNA is filed under the name uncultured bacterium. RNAcentral describes it as "partial 16S ribosomal RNA". It matches the Rfam family "Bacterial small subunit ribosomal RNA", at positions 562 to 791 of the family's 1533-position model. The record is from RNAcentral.